RNAcentral lists this long non-coding RNA (407 nucleotides) under Piliocolobus tephrosceles (Ugandan red Colobus). RNAcentral describes it as "lncRNA (ENSPTEG00000029242.1)". The record is from RNAcentral. Lineage: Eukaryota; Metazoa; Chordata; Mammalia; Primates; Cercopithecidae.
AAACUAGCCGGGCGAGGUGGCGGGCGCCUGUAGUCACAGCUACUCGGGAGGCUGAGGCAGGAGAAUGGCACGAACCCGGGAGGCGGACCUUGCAGUGAGCUGAGAUCGGGCCACCGCACUCCAGCCUGGGUGGUGACAGAGCAAGACUCCGUCUCAAAAAAAAAAAAAAAAAAAAAAAAAAAAAAAAAAAAAAAAAAAAAAAAAAAAAAAAAAAAAAAAAAAAAAAAAAAAAUUAGCCGGGCUUGGCAGCAGGCGGUAGUCCCAGCUACUCAGAAGGCUCAGGCAGGAGAAUGGUGUGCACCGGAAAGGCAGAGCUUGCAGUGAGCCGAGAUCGCGCCACUGCACUCCAGCCUGGGGGAGAGAGUGAGACCCUGUCUCGAAAAAUAAAAAAAUAACUUGUGCACGCA